RNAcentral lists this ribosomal RNA (494 nucleotides) under uncultured bacterium. Its description in RNAcentral is "partial 16S ribosomal RNA". It matches the Rfam family "Bacterial small subunit ribosomal RNA", at positions 28 to 507 of the family's 1533-position model. The record is from RNAcentral.
GACGAACGCUGGCGGCGUGCUUAACACAUGCAAGUCGAACGGUGAAGCGCCUUCCUUUUUGGUGGGUGUGGAUGAGUGGCGAACGGGUGAGCAACACGUGAGUAACCUGCCCCCUUCUUCUGGAUAACCGCAUGAAAGUGUGGCUAAUACGGGAUAUUCUGGGUCUGUCGCAUGAUGGGUCUGGGAAAGAUAUUGUUUCGGUGGGGGAUGGGCUCGCGGCCUAUCAGCUUGUUGGUGGGGUGAUGGCCUACCAAGGCGGUGACGGGUAGCCGGCCUGGGAGGGUGGACGGUCACACUGGGGCUGAGACACGGCCCAGACUCCUACGGGAGGCAGCAGUGGGGAAUAUUGCACAAUGGGCGGAAGCCUGAUGCAGCGACGCCGCGGGAGGGAUGGAGGCCGUCGGGUUGUGAACCUCUUUCGCCAGUGAAGCAGGCCUGCCUCGUUUGUGGGUGGGUUGACGGUAGCUGGAUAAGAAGCGCCGGCUAACUACGUG